RNAcentral lists this ribosomal RNA (441 nucleotides) under uncultured bacterium. RNAcentral's name for it is "partial 16S ribosomal RNA". It matches the Rfam family "Bacterial small subunit ribosomal RNA", at positions 338 to 795 of the family's 1533-position model. The record is from RNAcentral.
CCUACGGGUGGCAGCAGUAGGGAAUCUUCACAAUGGGCGAAAGCCUGAUGGAGCAACGCCGCGUGCAGGAUGAAGGCCUUCGGGUUGUAAACUGCUUUUAUAAGAGAGAAAUAUGAUGGUAACUUAUGAAUAAGGAUCGGCUAACUACGUGCCAGCAGCCGCGGUCAUACGUAGGAUCCGAGCAUUAUCCGGGGUGACUGGGUGUAAAGAGUUGCGUAGGUGGCAUAAUAAGUAGCUAGUGAAAUCUGGUGGCUCAACCAUUCAGACUAUUAGCUAAACUGUUCAGCUCGAGACCGGUAGGGGUAACUGGAAUUUCUAGUGUAGGAGUGAAAUCCGUAGAUAUUAGAAGGAACACCAAUAGCGUAGGCAGGUUGCUGGGACGGUUCUGACACUAAGGCACGAAAGCGUAGGGAGCAAACGGGAUUAGAUACCCCAGUAGUC